This 492-nucleotide ribosomal RNA is filed under the name uncultured bacterium. RNAcentral describes it as "partial 16S ribosomal RNA". It matches the Rfam family "Bacterial small subunit ribosomal RNA", at positions 29 to 507 of the family's 1533-position model. The record is from RNAcentral.
AGUGAACGCUGGCGGUAGGCCUAACACAUGCAAGUCGAACGGCAGCACAGUAAGAGCUUGCUCUUACGGGUGGCGAGUGGCGGACGGGUGAGGAAUACAUCGGAAUCUACUUUUUCGUGGGGGAUAACGUAGGGAAACUUACGCUAAUACCGCAUACGACCUACGGGUGAAAGCAGGGGAUCUUCGGACCUUGCGCGAUUGAAUGAGCCGAUGUCGGAUUAGCUAGUUGGCGGGGUAAAGGCCCACCAAGGCGACGAUCCGUAGCUGGUCUGAGAGGAUGAUCAGCCACACUGGAACUGAGACACGGUCCAGACUCCUACGGGAGGCAGCAGCGGGGAAUAUUGGACAAUGGGCGCAAGCCUGAUCCAGCCAUACCGCGUGGGUGAAGAAGGCCUUCGGGUUGUAAAGCCCUUUUGUUGGGAAAGAAAAGCAGCAGGUUAAUACCCCGCUGUUCUGACGGUACCCAAAGAAUAGGCACCGGCUAACUUCGUG